AUCUUUGUGAGUACUACGGAACGAUGGAUAAGGAUUAGAUUUCGGGAAUUGUAUUUGAGAGAAAUAGACUGGAAGAGAUGUUUUAUUAGAUAGAACAAGACGGAACUACAAUGUUUGGGGUAUAAAUCCUAGUUCUAGCCGCCUAGCUAUAAUCCCUUCCUUUAGGUUUUAGGUUCCCCUUAUAUAGUUGUUUUAGGUCGACCUUAGUCGGUUUUGAGUAGGUUAAACUCUUCCAUAUUCGGAAAUAUGGAAGGUUCUCCUUAUCGGAUGUUUUCUUUUUCCCGGAGGAAGGGGGUGGUCCCUGGGACCGGACCCGGGGUACUUCCUAGCAGGGA
This 335-nucleotide long non-coding RNA is filed under the name Brassica napus (rape). RNAcentral's name for it is "long non-coding RNA (BNAP_LNC024042)". The record is from RNAcentral. Lineage: Eukaryota; Viridiplantae; Streptophyta; Magnoliopsida; Brassicales; Brassicaceae.